This 253-nucleotide ribosomal RNA is filed under the name uncultured bacterium. Its description in RNAcentral is "partial 16S ribosomal RNA". It matches the Rfam family "Bacterial small subunit ribosomal RNA", at positions 524 to 776 of the family's 1533-position model. The record is from RNAcentral.
UACGUAGGUGGCAAGCGUUGUCCGGAAUUAUUGGGCGUAAAGCGCGCGCAGGUGGUUUCUUAAGUCUGAUGUGAAAGCCCACGGCUCAACCGUGGAGGGUCAUUGGAAACUGGGGAACUUGAGUGCAGAAGAGGAAAGUGGAAUUCCACGUGUAGCGGUGAAAUGCGUAGAGAUGUGGAGGAACACCAAAGGCGAAGGCAGUGUCCUGGGGAGUACCUGACGCUCAGGUGCGAAAGCCAGGGGAGCGAACGGG